AGAGUUUGAUCCUGGCUCAGAUUGAACGCUGGCGGUAUGCUUAACACAUGCAAGUCGAACGGUAGCAGGCCUUCGGGUGCUGACGAGUGGCGGACGGGUGAGUAAGGCAUAGGAAUCUGCCUCGUAGUGGGGGACAACUUAGGGAAACUUAAGCUAAUACCGCAUACGCCCUGAGGGGGAAAGUGGGGGACCGUAAGGCCUCACGCUAUGAGAUGAGCCUAUGUUGGAUUAGCUAGUUGGUAGGGUAAAGGCCUACCAAGGCGACGAUCCAUAGCUGGUCUGAGAGGAUGAUCAGCCACACUGGGACUGAGACACGGCCCAGACUCCUACGGGAGGCAGCAGUGGGGAAUAUUGGACAAUGGGCGCAAGCCUGAUCUAGCAAUACCGCGUGUGUGAAGAAGGCCUGAGGGUUGUAAAGCACUUUCAAUAGGGAGGAAAAAGCGUAGGCUAAUACCCUGCGUAUUGACAUUACCUAUACAAGAGGCACCGGCUAACUCCGUGCCAGCAGCCGCGGUAAUACGGAGGGUGCGAGCGUUAAUCGGAAUUACUGGGCGUAAAGCGUGCGUAGGCGGCCUGUUAAGUCAGAUGUGAAAGCCCUGGGCUCAACCUGGGAACGGCAUUUGAAACUGGCAAGCUAGAGUUAGGUAGAGGGGAGUGGAAUUUCAGGUGUAGCGGUGAAAUGCGUAGAUAUCUGAAAGGAACACCAGUGGCGAAGGCGGCUCCCUGGACCCAAACUGACGCUGAGGUACGAAAAGCGUGGGUAGCAAACAGAUUAGAUACCCUGGUAGUCCACGCUGUAA
RNAcentral lists this ribosomal RNA (800 nucleotides) under uncultured bacterium. RNAcentral's name for it is "bacterial SSU rRNA". It matches the Rfam family "Bacterial small subunit ribosomal RNA", at positions 8 to 805 of the family's 1533-position model. The record is from RNAcentral.